Molecule: ribosomal RNA, 489 nt
Filed under: uncultured bacterium
Lineage: Bacteria
Description: bacterial SSU rRNA
Rfam family: Bacterial small subunit ribosomal RNA
Source: RNAcentral
AUUGAACGCUGGCGGUAUGCUUAACACAUGCAAGUCGAACGGUAACAGGCCUUCGGGCGCUGACGAGUGGCGGACGGUGAGUAACGCGUAGGAAUCUGCCUCAUAGUGGGGACAACGUGGGGAAACACACGCUAAUACCGCAUACGCCCUACGGGGAAAGCGGGGAGUCUUCGGACCUCGCGCUAUGAGAUGAGCCUGCGUUAGAUUAGCUAGUUGGUAGGGUAAAGGCCUACCAAGGCGACGAUCUAUAGCUGGUCUGAGAGGACGAUCAGCCACACUGGGACUGAGACACGGCCCAGACUCCUACGGGAGGCAGCAGUGGGGAAUAUUGGACAAUGGGCGCAAGCCUGAUCCAGCAAUACCGCGUGUGUGAAGAAGGCCCUAGGGUUGUAAAGCACUUUCAAUUGGGAGGAAAACCCUGCCGGUCAAUACCCGGCAGCUUGACAUUACCUUUAGAAGAAGCACCGGCUAACUCCGUGCCAGCAGCCG